This 651-nucleotide ribosomal RNA is filed under the name uncultured Methanosaeta sp. RNAcentral's name for it is "bacterial SSU rRNA". It matches the Rfam family "Archaeal small subunit ribosomal RNA", at positions 228 to 879 of the family's 1478-position model. Lineage: Archaea; Methanobacteriati; Methanobacteriota; Methanomicrobia; Methanotrichales; Methanotrichaceae. The record is from RNAcentral.
GGUAGUAGUGGGUGUAGCGUACCUACUAGCCUACGACGGGUACGGGUUGUGAGAGCAAGAGCCCGGAGAUGGAUUCUGAGACACGAAUCCAGGCCCUACGGGGUGCAGCAGGCGCGAAAACUUUACAAUGCUGGAAACAGCGAUAAGGGGACCUCGAGUGCCAGGUUACAAAUCUGGCUGUCGUGAUGCCUAAAAAGCAUUGCAUAGCAAGGGCCGGGCAAGACCGGUGCCAGCCGCCGCGGUAACACCGGCGGCUCGAGUGGUAACCGUUAUUAUUGGGUCUAAAGGGUCUGUAGCCGGCCGGAUAAGUCUCUUGGGAAAUCCAGCAGCUCAACUGUUGGGCUUUCAGGAGAUACUGUCUGGCUCGAGGCCGGGAGAGGUGAGAGGUACUUCAGGGGUAGGGGUGAAAUCUUGUAAUCCUUGAAGGACCACCAGUGGCGAAGGCGUCUCACCAGAACGGACCUGACGGCAAGGGACGAAAGCUAGGGGCACGAACCGGAUUAGAUACCCGGGUAGUCCUAGCCGUAAACGAUACUCGCUAGGUGUCGGCCACGGUGCGACCGUUGUCGGUGCCGUAGGGAAGCCGUGAAGCGAGCCACCUGGGAAGUACGGCCGCAAGGCUGAAACUUAAAGGAAUUGGCGGGGGAGCAC